UUGAAUUGUUAGCCAGCAACCAAAUCCUCAAAGCCGAAUGAAGAUGUGCAGCUAAUGAGGCCAGAAAGUCAUAAGCCUCCUCUACCGUAUACUCAACCUUUUUUAGUCCCCACUCGUGGGAAAUCAUUUUUCUCAAGGUGCACUGAAAUCCUCUACCAUAUACUCAACCUUUUUUAGUCCCCACUCGUGGGAAAUCAUUUUUCUCAAGGUGCACUGAAGGUUCAGCAGGCACUGAGAACAGCACCGAAAUAAACACACUACACUAGAGUCAGUUGAAAGAUUGGAAGAUCUAUUUGAUGAACAUUCAAGACCUAUGCUAUUGCCAACCGACUUUUGGUUGCU
This 342-nucleotide long non-coding RNA is filed under the name Nicotiana benthamiana. RNAcentral describes it as "long non-coding RNA (NBEN_LNC017619)". Lineage: Eukaryota; Viridiplantae; Streptophyta; Magnoliopsida; Solanales; Solanaceae. The record is from RNAcentral.